This 1461-nucleotide ribosomal RNA is filed under the name Limosilactobacillus fermentum. Its description in RNAcentral is "Lactobacillus fermentum 16S ribosomal RNA". It matches the Rfam family "Bacterial small subunit ribosomal RNA". The record is from RNAcentral. Lineage: Bacteria; Bacillati; Bacillota; Bacilli; Lactobacillales; Lactobacillaceae.
AAUACAUGCAAGUCGAACGCGUUGGCCCAUUUGAUUGAGGGUGCUUGCACCUGAUUGAUUUUGGUCGCGAACGAGUGGCGGACGGGUGAGUAACACGUAGGUAACCUGCCCAGAAUCGGGGGACAACAUUUGGAAACAUAUGCUAAUACCGCUUGACCCCGUUGUUCGCAUGAACAACGCUUAAAAGAUGGCUUCUCGCUAUCACUUCUGGAUGGACCUGCGGUGCAUUAGCUUGUUGGUGGGGUAACGGCCUACCAAGGCGAUGAUGCAUAGCCGAGUUGACAGACUGAUCGGCCACAAUGGGACUGACACACGGCCCAUACUCCUACGGGAGGCAGCACUACGGAAUCGUCCACAAUGGGCACAAGCCUGAUGGACCAACACCGCGUGAGUGAACAACGGUUUCGGCUCGUAAAGCUCUGUUGAUAAAAAAUAACACGUAUGAUACUAACUGUUCAUACGUUGACCGUAUUUAACCAGAAAGUCACGGCUAACUACGUGCCAGCAGCCSCGRUAAUACGUASGUGGCAAGCRUUAUCCGGAUUUAUUGSGCGUAAAGAGAGUGCAKGCGGUUUUUAAGUCUGAUGUGAAAKCCUUCGGCUUAACCGGASAARUGCAUCGGAAACUGGAUAACUUGAGUGCAGAAGAGGGUAGUGGAACUCCAUGUGUAGCGGUGGAAUGCGUAGAUAUAUGGAAGAACACCAGUGGCGAAGGCGGCUACCUGGUCUGCAACUGACGCUGAGACUCGAAAGCAUGGGUAGCGAACAGGAUUAGAUACCCUGGUAGUCCAUGCCGUAAACGAUGAGUGCUAGGUGUUGGAGGGUUUCCGCCCUUCAGUGCCGGAGCUAACGCAUUAAGCACUCCGCCUGGGGAGUACGACCGCAAGGUUGAAACUCAAAGGAAUUGACGGGGGCCCGCACAAGCGGUGGAGCAUGUGGUUUAAUUCGAAGCUACGCGAAGAACCUUACCAGGUCUUGACAUCUUGCGCCAAUCUUAGAGAUAGGGCGUUUCCUUCGGGAACGCAAUGACAGGUGGUGCAUGGUUGUCGUCAGCUCGUGUCGUGAGAUGUUGGGUUAAGUCCCGCAACGAGCGCAACCCUUGUUAUUAGUUGCCAGCAUUAAGUUGGGCACUCUAGUGAGACUGCCGGUGACAAACCGGAGGAAGGUGGGGACGACGUCAGAUCAUCAUGCCCCUUAUGACCUGGGCUACACACGUGCUACAAUGGACGGUACAACGAGUCGCGAACUCGCGAGGGCAAGCAAAUCUCUUAAAACCGUUCUCAGUUCGGACUGCAGGCUGCAACUCGCCUACACGAAGUCGGAAUCGCUAGUAAUCGCGGAUCAGCAUGCCGCGGUGAAUACGUUCCCGGGCCUUGUACACACCGCCCGUCACACCAUGAGAGUUUGUAACACCCAAAGUCGGUGGGGUAACCUUUUAGGAGCCAGCCGCCUAAGGUGGGAC